Molecule: long non-coding RNA, 1986 nt
Filed under: Nicotiana benthamiana
Lineage: Eukaryota; Viridiplantae; Streptophyta; Magnoliopsida; Solanales; Solanaceae
Description: long non-coding RNA (NBEN_LNC012676)
Source: RNAcentral
CUGAUUCUUUGCAUCAGUGAUAACACGCAAGCCACAAGGGAGUUGCUGCACAAGCAGCCACUGGGAGCUUAUUUGAAAAAAUUAGCAGUGACAUGGCAACUGAAUGCUAAUUGUAGGUCCCUGAUGGAUUAAAGGCAGAAACUUGUAAUUGUUUCGCUGUAAUCUGUAAUUGUACAUGGAGAAAGAUUCAGACAUUUGUAAAUUCAAUGAUUCUUCUAAAUUGACACAAUCAUCAGUAGGUUAUGAUUUCUUUUCUUUUUCCUUCAUAUGGUCAAAUGUAAUGUCUUGAUCCUUCCACCUUUCCUCUUUUUCAAAAUGCAUAUAUGGAAGAAAAAGUUGAAAGAUAUAUCCCUGAGCAUCACGCAGCAGUUUUGUUCCUUCCUCACCUCUAUGCUUGCUACUUACUUUGUCUCAAGUUUGUCUUUGAAUAGCCUAUGAACUGAUGUUAUGAGGUCAGACAAGGUGGAAACCAUAUUCAUUUAUGAUUUAACUACAUCUGCGAGGCAGCUGUUCGAUUCCCUUCUGAAACGCAGGUGCUCUGUGAUCAACUUUGAUUUUCUUUUUCUUUGGUUGCAAUAUUGUUUCUUAUCCUCAUUCUUUUUUCUCAUUUACUAAUUUCAGGGUAUUGGUUCAGGUUGCAAUCAGUUUUGGAAGGAUGGUCAGAUAAUUGCUAUCUUAUUAGAUUCAUCCACUAUAGCUGUUCGAAACCCUCAGACAUUCCCUGUCUAGUUGGUGAGGUGCCGUUUUCCGUGGUGAUUUGAAGAAACCAUUUGAUCUUGCUUUGAUAUAUUCUGUAGUGACAAUGCAUCCUGCUUACUCCUGGUUAAUAUCUAGGAUGGGCUAAUAACAGACUUAAGAAUGCUUAUAUAAAUUCUUUCACGGAGUCUUGGGGGUAUAUUUUUGAAAAGUUUUCCAUGUUGAUAGCUUGUGGCUGUCUACUUUGUGAUUCAUAUCAUAUUGUUAGUUUCAAUUGCUAGUAGUACUAGUAGUUAUUUUCAAAGCUAUUACUAGUUUAAUACUAGCUAGUUGGCAGCCAUGGAUUGGUGGAGGUUCUCAUUCCUAUAUGGAUGAUUAGGUCUUAUGUAGAAUUUAAUGUUAUGUUUCUGGUGUUUCAGCCAUUCAUUGUUGAACUAGCAAUGGUUGCACCAUUACUUCAACUGUUGGGUUGCCUCUAUUCACCUCCACUUUUAUCAGAACCCCUCUUAUUUGGUGGUACAUUCUAAUUCAUAAUGAUAAGAGUUGUCCUGGGCAGUUGCCUUGUUAUGCAUUGUAUUCAUCAGGAUAGUCUCAAUCUUUUUCCUGACUCUGUCCCAUUUAGUCUUAUUACUUGCAUUAAUUGUUUGAACAAAAUAUAAAAUCUUACACUGAACAGGGAAGGAGGAUUAAUGUAUCAUUGCCGAAGAAAAUUCCAUGCACGAAGUACCUGUCAUAAGCAUCAUCUGAUCACGAAGCUUCUGGUGGAUCUGCAAGAGAGGACUAUAUACUGCUACAGAAGCACCUCGUGUAUCAGCUUGUUUGUAAGACACUAUGUUCCCUGUGUUUCUGAUCCUGUGUUUAGUUUUGACUAUAUGGUAAUUUGAAGUUCUUUCUCAUUGUCGCAGCAGCUGUGCCCAAGCUUUUCUUUUUCUUUUUACUUUACUGGUGGUCUUUCGAGGAGUGUGUCAUAGAAGCUUGAUCCAUGGCUUCUUGUUUGCAUCAACUACAGGAUGUCUUAUUUAACAAAUUAGUUGAUAAUUAAUGAAUAAUUUGAGAAGUACUGGUUUUCUAGUUUCAGUAUGAUCUUAAUACGUUGCUUGGCAAUUUCAUUUUCUUGGAAAUAUUAAUUCAAUACUUGUGAUUUAGUGAUUGACUGAUCAUUUCUUGGCAAAUCUUAUAGAUGUUGAACACAAGAAAAAAAUACGGAUGAAAGUGAACCCAAGUGAAUUCUGUUGACUUUUGACAAAACUUAGUUUUGACCAGAAGAUGAGUGCAGCAUCUGCAUUGGGU